GGUCCGUUCGUAUAACGGUUAGUACGUAACCUUCACACGGUUAAAACGCCGGUUCGAUUCCGGCACGGAUCA
Molecule: transfer RNA, 72 nt
Filed under: Tilletia horrida
Lineage: Eukaryota; Fungi; Basidiomycota; Exobasidiomycetes; Tilletiales; Tilletiaceae
Description: tRNA-Val
Rfam family: tRNA
About the family: Transfer RNA (tRNA) molecules are approximately 80 nucleotides in length. Their secondary structure includes four short double-helical elements and three loops (D, anti-codon, and T loops). Further hydrogen bonds mediate the characteristic L-shaped molecular structure. tRNAs have two regions of fundamental functional importance: the anti-codon, which is responsible for specific mRNA codon recognition, and the 3' end, to which the tRNAs corresponding amino acid is attached (by aminoacyl-tRNA synthetases). tRNAs cope with the degeneracy of the genetic code in two manners: having more than one tRNA (with a specific anti-codon) for a particular amino acid; and 'wobble' base-pairing, i.e. permitting non-standard base-pairing at the 3rd anti-codon position.
Source: RNAcentral